Molecule: ribosomal RNA, 309 nt
Filed under: uncultured eukaryote
Lineage: Eukaryota
Description: partial 18S ribosomal RNA
Rfam family: Eukaryotic small subunit ribosomal RNA
Source: RNAcentral
CCCUUAGAUGUUCUGGGCGGCCCGCGCACUACAUUGGCACUCUCAAUAAGUUCCUAGAUCUAAAACUUUGGGGUAUUCUAUUAAGUGGUGUCGUGACUGGGAUUAACCCUUGCAAUUAUUGGUUACGAACGAGGAAUUCCUUGUAAUCGCGGUUUAUCAGCCCGCGUUGAAUGCGUCCCUGCCCUUUGUACACACCGCCCGUCGCUCCUACCGAUGAAUCGUCCGGUGAAGUUCAUGGAGUGGUGGUUGUUCCAGCUGCUGUCGAAGUGAAAUGGACCUCACGAUUUAGAGGAAGGAAAAGUCGUAACA